Molecule: ribosomal RNA, 115 nt
Filed under: Klebsiella pneumoniae
Lineage: Bacteria; Pseudomonadati; Pseudomonadota; Gammaproteobacteria; Enterobacterales; Enterobacteriaceae
Also listed under: 2 other names
Source: RNAcentral
UGGCGGCCGUAGCGCGGUGGUCCCACCUGACCCCAUGCCGAACUCAGAAGUGAAACGCCGUAGCGCCGAUGGUAGUGUGGGGUCUCCCCAUGUGAGAGUAGGGAACCGCCAGGUU